CAAAAAAAUCCAAAGAAAUGAUCAGUCUAUAAUUUUGUGUGUGUGUGUGUGUACAGUAUAUAACAUCCACCAGCUCUGUGAUGUUGUCAUGGAGGAAUGGAAGAGGACUCCAGUGGCAACCUGUGAAGCUCUGGUGAACUCCAUGCCCAAGAGGGUUAAGGCAGUGCUGGAAAAUAAUGGUGGCCACACAAAAUAUUGACACUUUGGGCCCAAUUUGGACAUUUUCACUUAGGGGUGUACUCACUUUUGUGGCCAGCGGUUUAGACAUUAAUGGCUGUGUGUUGAGUUAUUUUGAGGGUACAAGCUGUACAUUCACUACUUUACAUUGUAGCAAAGUGUCAUUUCUUCAGUGUUGUCACAUGAAGAGAUACACACACAUACAUAUAUACAUAUACACAUACAUACAUAUACACACACAUAUAUAUAUAUACAUAUAUACACAUACAUAUAUACAUACAUAUAUAUAUGCGUGUAUGUAUAUGUAGGGCUGUCAACGUUAACGCAUGAGAUUAAUCACAAUUUUAACGCGUUAAUAUUUUUUUAACGGAAAUUAAUCAUUUGAUAAGGUUUGACCCCAACUUCUUGCCGUCAUCGCAAGAACGGAAGGUCAUCUAUCAUUGUGUGAUAAGGGUACAGUGAACCAGUGUUGCCAGGGUCGCAGUUUUCCCGCACAAUUGGGCUAUUUUGAAAAUACAAUCGCGGGGAAAAUUACAGAGCCGUGGGUUGCGGUUUUUGGGGCCACUUUUAUAAUGUACCGCGGCCGCCCAAAAUGUAUAAAUAUAAAUUAAAAUAGAUCCUUUUACUAAUGUGUAUUAUACUUGGAAUGUAUCCCUGGCAACUUAAGAACGGAGAGGCAGUUGUAACAUCACAAACAACGCGAGUUUCAGCAGAGCAUACAUGUUACAUGUUAAGGCUUUUACACAGCAGAAAUAAACAUGACAACAGCCACUAUAAAUUAUAUAACAUAAUAAACACACAAUUACGAUAUGGUUUGUAUGUGAUUAUCUUGUACAGCAAUAAAAAAAAGGCUAUAAAUAGCAUAUUUUAACAACAGUAAAUGACCAAAUUCCACAUGUGAUCGCAAAAGGAAGUUAUUACAAACACUCGAUGGUGGUUUGAAGUGAGUUCUGAGUAAAAGUGUACUAUUAAUCUCAUAAAUUGUCUUGUGUAGCAUAAUGCUAAUGUUAGCUCUAAUGCAGCUGCAGAACAGGUCCAAUUCUUCUUUAUAAUGCAUUUUGUCAUAAUACUUCACGCAAGGUCACAAGAAAAUGUUUUGUUGUAUUUAUUUAGAAAUACUUCUGAUAAUAGUUGGGUAAAUGUAUACUGGGAUUGAAGCGAUGUGGCUUGGUAAACGUUUUAUUGCCAGUAUAAAGGCUGAUAAUGGCUGAAUAAAAACAAAAGAAUAAUAAGGUCAUACCUGGCGUAGGUGUAAAAGGUUCUGUUUCCUUAAACUAGCUUAUCGUGCAUUUCUUUAUUUCAAGAUAUUUACAGGUAAAUCCUAGUAUUUUAAAUUUGCGAUUAAUCGUGAUUAACGCGAUUAAAAAUUUUUAUAUACAUACAUAUACAUAUACAUACAUACAUACAUACACACAAAUAAUAUCUUUGGAUGUUUCUAUUCAUCAAAUAAUCCUAAAGAAUUUACUCAACUGUAUUAAAUAUUGAUAAUAAUAAUAAUAAUAAAACCUGUGACACUGAAGACUGGAGUAAUGAUGCUGAAAAUUUAGCUUUGAUCACAGGAAUAAAUUACAUUCUAAAAUAUGUUCAAAUAGAAAGCAGAUAUUUUAAACAGUAAAAAUAUUUCACAAUAAUACUGCUUUUGCUGUAUUUUGGAUCAAACUAAUCCAGGCUUGUUGAGAAGAAGAGAAUUCUUUAAAAAAAUUAAAAAAUUAAAAUCUUACUGUUCAAAAACUUUUGACUGGUAGUGUAUGUAAAAAAAAGUUAUAUGUAUGUGUUAUAUGUAUGUAUGAAGUUAUAUAUAAAUAAAUUUAAAUAUAUAUAAACAUACCCACAAAUACAAAUAAACAUACUAGUCGGAACUAUAUACACACGUCUUACCACCUUUAAAAAUAAGCAAUCGAAAAUAGACGCUGUGCUGCCUCUUCUCAAGUAUGCACAUAAUACAAGCAUAUUCUAUGCACUCUGACAUUAUGCUUUCAUAAUGGCCCUCGGUGGGCCGGAUCAAUAGCUGUGGAUCAGUCCCGGUUAAUUGAGCUUAUCUGCUCUACAAUGUGCUCAUUGACAGAAAUGUGAUCCAUGCACCGAGGAAUAGCAGCCAUUUCUUUGAAAGCAGCGAGGUCAGCCGGGUCUGCUGUGACUGGCCCACUCAAACUUUUCCCCAAGGCAAAUAUGAGUAACAGAGUUCUGUAUGUACUAUGAUAUCCAUGAGAUGUCUUUAGAUUAUGCUGCUACAACAGCAGGGUAAUGCGAGAGCCUGGAAGUUCAUGGAGGCCAGACAAGCAGAGAGAGAGAAGGUGGGAGUCAUUGCUCUUGUUAUACUUUAGUAAUGUUCUUAGCUUUACAAGUCGUACUUUUGAAACGUCACCAUGGUAUUAUAAUUUUUGGUGUUUUCUUCAGAGUAUAGUGUGAAUUGUACAUGGGUCAAAGACAAGAUGUCCAAUUUUGGUCUUUGCAUCAAAUUACAUGUACAGUUUUGUUGCAAACAAGAGUCUUACCUGAAAUGCAACAAAAGAUAUUGCUGGACAACAGUUAUUAGGUGAAACCGCAUACUGUCUAGUUAGGUACUACAUUUGAUGAGGAAGAUACAGUACUUUGCAACUGUUAAAAAGUCUGUUCUAUAUUGUAUGAAUGUGUGUGGUAUUGAAAUCUGGAUGUACUACAUUCGCUAUGUUGUCAUUGUCACAUAACUUACCAGCGUCAGUUGAUUCAUUUUACUAUUAGUCACAACUCCUCUCCUGUGGCCUCAUGAUCGUAAAGUCCCAUCAGAUGCACACUUUGGAAUUGGAAAACCUACUGUUUUAUGAAUACUGGGAAUGUGGACAUACUACAUGCUGUUUUCACCUACUAUAUAGUAGGGAAGUAUGCUUAUUGGUAUGCAGGGGAUUGCCUUUUGUAGUAAACUUUUAAGCUUAAUAAUGUCAAUUGCUGCUUUUCCACCGAAAUUACUUUUCCCCCAGACCUGUUGCUGUCUGCGUUUCCAUCGUGGUCUAAAGUAGCGAGAAAUUUAGGCAAAUAGUCUGGUGACAUAGGUCUGUGCGCAUUUCUAACGAAAUACGCAAAUUUCGGACUUGCGUCCUUGGUAGUUUGGACUUCGCGAGUUCGACUCAGGAGUGUGAACUCCUGUGGACGGGAUGACACAAGUCCGGUAAUUCUGCAAAGAGCGGCGUAUGAGAUAACAUCAGCCAGCUCACCUUGGCUACUGCAAUUUCCCUCACUGUAUUUACAAUAGGAUGAAAUAUGAUAUCAAACACCACUGCCUCUUUUCGGUUUCAUUUAAACAUAUUAAUAGCUGCGGAAAUGUAGUACAGGGAACGUACAUAGCCUAAAUUACAAUGAAACGAAAUAUUAUAUCAAAUAGUAUUGCUGCUUUUCAUUUUAGCAUAUUAAUAGAAUUCAGACCAAAGAUUACCUGUUCGAUUUACCCCAAACUAAUUAUCUCUCAUGUUUAACCACUAGAGUCAGUGGUUAAAGAGUCAGAAGGACUAGCCGAGGUGAGGCUGCUCUCAUCGGAAUACAUGAGCACUGAGAGCCCGCUGAUCGCGUGGAGCUCACGUCUCCGAAAUCGGCAAAGCACAUUUUUAAAUAGGAGCUGUCUUUAUAAAUAAACCGCAGAUUUGAGUUUUAAACAACUACAUUCUCACCUGAAACUACAUUUCAUGACACAAUAACAGUAAUGUUUUUAAAAAAUGUGUGAAUAUAUGGCGGUUGAACUACAAUGCUGCGUGAACUCAACCAAUCAGCAUGCUCAGUGCCCAAGUCCCACCCCUGAAAGUUCCGGGCCUUUAAAAAAAAAGUACUACCUCGCAAGCAGGGACUUUCUGAGGGGCAAAUUUGUACACGGAACUUUAUUUAGAUCCUGGUUCCAACAGUGGAAACACACCGAGUACCAGCCUCCCUAGUCCAUAGUUCCUGGGUAAAGUUAUUGAGGUGGAAACGGGGCUAUUGUUUUAUGACAAAGGCAUACAUCAACACCACAAAUUUGACAAGAAUAAAACAAAAUUCCCUUACUUUUCAGAAUUCUAAUCAAAUAGUCUUAAAGUUACUACUUUCUGUGGUGAUGGCAAAAGUACAUACUUGACUGGGACAUUAUGCUAGUAUUGGGACAAUACCAUUACAUUUUCAUCUUGAUAUUGCAAACAUCAGUGUCUAGCAUUUACUUUUAGAUUAAUUUAUUUAUUCGCCUUUAGAAGAUUAUUAUAGUGUAAAGUGGACAGGAAGACAAGCGAGAGAGAUGGGGGGGACAGCAGUCAGGGUUUGAUUUGACAUACUAGGACAGAUUCAUACUGUCAUAUCAUCAGAUUUUCACUACAUGACUUAAACACAAGUGUAGGGAAGUGGAAAGAGAGUUUAUAACCAUAACUUGUACAAAAGUGUAUAAAAAGAACUUUUGAAAAGAGCUGUCAAUUGGCACAGCUAACACCCUGUAAUUUUUUUUUUUACAGGAUCCAAAAUAACUCCUACACUGGCAAACAAACUUUUUCGGCUGAAGGCACCUGACUAUGCCAAGGACAGGCACCACAGAAGCUACAGACCUCCGUCUGCCUGAUCAACAGCAGCACCUUGGAGGCGAGACUAGCCCAUGAGGACAUCUUUGAGCCAAUCAGAUGUGGUUAUCAGUUAGUAAGAUACGAGGGAGUAAUUAUAUCAUUCAUGCUGAUAGAGUGCAAGUAAUUAUGCAAUUACGCUCAAGAACAGGUUGCUGUAAGUGCCACCCAUAGUAAUGUUUUCCAUGUUAAAUUCCAAGAUGUUACAAUGAGGAAGAAAAGAUCUGAGAAUGCAUUUUGUGGCUUGAAAAUUCAUUUUAGCAGAGAAACACUCGAGAGCUCUCAAGGAAAAAGUCAUUAACAAAUAACCAUGACAGCUGCAUGGCUACAGAUCAGCUAGGACCCACGUGUCGCACACAUACACACACAACCAGGUGGUGACUUCAGUUUCUGGGACCAAAAAAUAAAUAAAUCAGUGCAUCUAUUUUGUUGGGUCACCAACAUGACAAGUGGCACCAUGCUUGCUGGUUCAUGACCAAUUGUGAAAGUCAUUAGUCUAAUUAAGGAAGUGCUCAUUAUUCUUUAGCUCUUCAUGACCUAGCUCUCUGAAACUCACACAUUGCCGCCAGCGCAAGAGCCACAUCUGCUUGAUCUGUCCCAGCUGUGUAAUUCCAUGUAUUGCUUUGUCUUGCCAUGUUCGGCAUGCUAUCAGUGCCAUAAAACGAAAUGAAAAUUUACAA
Long non-coding RNA from Onychostoma macrolepis, 5401 nucleotides. RefSeq lists it as uncharacterized. Lineage: Eukaryota; Metazoa; Chordata; Actinopteri; Cypriniformes; Cyprinidae. The transcript is spliced from 3 exons. The record is from RefSeq and is a predicted model, not a curated record.